Molecule: long non-coding RNA, 2724 nt
Organism: Nomascus leucogenys (northern white-cheeked gibbon)
Lineage: Eukaryota; Metazoa; Chordata; Mammalia; Primates; Hylobatidae
Exons: 3
Source: RefSeq, a predicted model, not a curated record
AAUAGUGUACGGUGAUGUCCUAGGCCUUCACAUUUACUUACCACUCAUUGACACCCACAGCAACUUCCAGUCCUAUAAGCUCUAUUGAUGGUAUGGACCCUACACAGAAAUGCUCCUGUGGACCUAAAAUGUACAACUGUUCUUUAAAUAAAACUUCAACUGAUUUAACUUUAUAAGCUACAGGAAACAACAAGUGAAAUGAAAUAUACUAACAUAUAUAGGUAUACAGGAGUCUCUCUCCAUGGCCACCAUAGCUGAAAAUGCGGUGGGUCACAUCUGAAGCCAGCACAGCCCUGCAUCUUACCCAAGGCCCACAGCAAGUACUGCCUGGGUACCAGUGAUGUUCAAGGCCCAACAUCUCUUUAGUCAGCAGGUGAUGAAUCCUGCUAGAACUGGAUCCUUCCCUUCAAGGCAGAAGGUUCCUCUCUGGCCCAUGGUGUGUCUAGAAAUGUAGUCUAGGAGCUACAGCCUAGAAUGGGGAGCCUCAGGACUCUGCCUGACACCCUAUUCUACUGUGGCUGAGCUGGCAUCCAAGUUGCAAGACACAGUUGUCUUUACUCUCUACUAUCUUCACCUCAAGCAGAAGGAAGGAGUCUCUCCCAGAGUUGUAAGCUGCGUUGCCUAGGGUUGGGGGAAGGUUGAUGCAAGUACUCCCUGGGCCACCCUAGCUGGUAUCUCAUCAGGUUAUGUGGACCACAUGUCAACUGGCUCUGAGCCCAGCAUAACACGUGUCCAGGAAUUACAAUCCUUGUGGCCUAGACUGCCUUUCAAGUUUACUUACGACCCCAGAGAACUUUAGCUCAUGGUGGCAGGGUUUGCUGGAAUUGGAACUCAGGUUCAGACCUCUGGGAUAGACAACUUGCCUCUGUCUAGGGCUGAUCUAAAUGCUCUUUGUGGGUGCUGGUUGAGUUCUACCAAGUGUUGCUUUCCGCUGUGACACAGCAGCACUGUGGAUGCAACAUCCUACAAGCAUGGUGCUCUCCCUUCCUCAAGCACACGGAUUCUCUUUCCACGCCAUGUGGCCCCUUCAGGGGGAUGGGGGAGGGAUGGUGUAGGUGAUUAAAGACUGUUUUUCCUAUCCUACUCCAUGCCUCCUUCCUUAAUAUAGUUGUUCAAUUUGAUGUUCCUGCAGAGGGGAUGACCACCGGAGGCUUCUAUUCGGCCAUCUUGUUCUGCUUCCUCUCUAGGAGUGGGCCUUAUUAAUAUUACAUUAUUACUAUCACCUUUUCACAAUCUUGUCAAAAGAGGGAGGAAAAAAAGAACACUCAAGAAACCUUAUAUUUUUUGUGAUCUUUGUGUUAGUUUACUUAACUUGGAAAAGAAACAAGUCUUUUAAUGAUAAUUUAAUUUACAAGAUUUAGCUUACUUAACUCCCAGGGGGAUUGGAGUCAAUCAUAUGGUGGGACAGUAAGUAAUUAAAUUUUUACAUUUCUAAGAUCUUCAUACAGUUUAACACAAAACAAACCAAUAGAUAUCAUCUAAUAUAUAAUUUACUUCAAAUGCUUUUGUGGCACAUUACAGUAGUACAUGCAUAAGAUGGCAUUCCUUGAAAAGUCAGGGACAUCUAGAUAGUCACCAAAGUUAAGGGAGUUGUAAAAGCAAAAAGGUCACUCUGUAAGGGUAAAUUCUAAAAUCUACUCAAGUAUCUGGGAAGUUCAUGGCUCAAACAAAACAUGGUUGGAAUAACCAGUGUUUUGGCCCUUUUUUAUUAUGUAAUAAUAAAUUGCUCCAGUUGAAUGCUUCACCACCUGAAGUUCCUUUUAAUAUUUACUUUCUAAAACCCCGAUAUGAAGAAUCUAGAAUAAUUUGUGAUAAAUGUUUAAAACUUUUUAAAAAUUACAAGAUAGUGUGCAAAAGUCACUGUGAUUGUGAAGCAAUCAUGUCUAAACUAAAAGAUGCAUUAAACUGGGUAACAGAGGCUUUUUAAAAACUCUUUUUUUCCCUUGUAAGUUUCAUCACUAUUAUUCCUAAAAACAGUAUUCUUUAGUAAACUUAUAUGCUUUACUAAAUUUAUUAAAUUUAGUAAAAUUAUAUGCUUAUAUUCUCUAUUUUCUUUUUCAGAUACUUUCCUUUAACUAUCAAAUAUACGCUUAUCCUUCCCGAUUCUAACAUUCUCUUCUGGAACACUAUUUGAAGCUCUCAAAAACAUAUCUUCAGACUAGCUAUUGAAAAUCUCAAGAGAAAAAUGUUCCACACUCUUGGCUGAAUUAUUAAAAAUGAAAUCUAACAGCUGGAUAGCCUCUGAGGAUAGGUGUAGACAAAACACUAGUUGAAAGAUUGCUACAGGUCAAAUUACUUCACAUGCUGUGGCUCUAUUCUGUCAUCAGUUCACAUGGGUCAAGGGCUAUGUAACAUCAUCAAUGAACUUGUAAGGAAUAAUAGAAAAGGGAGAACUGUACUGCAACUCAUAUAGAGAGGCCAAAUGAACAGGGCCAACUUCCUUCUUAACCUUUUUAUUCUACUUCAGCAAAAUCCAGCACAAUUCAACCAAAGAAUAUACGGAGAAUCUAUUAUAUUGAGUCCAUGAAGUUGGUGCUACCAAGGAUACAGAAAUAAGUAAGACAGGAUCCCUGCCUCCAAGAACUUCACUUCUAGCUGAGAGGCAGCCACAGGCAUAAGCAGUUAGAGUAAAGAUAGGAUAUGGACAGUGGAAUAACAGAGUUAUGAUAUAUCAAUGGAACACCUAAGAAGUAGGGAGACUUUCUGAGUAACUACAACGAUUAA